UUUCCGUAGGUGAACCUGCGGAGGGAUCAUUACCGUAUCUCAGACGUGGCAGGCCGGCCCUGACCGGUUUCCGUAAUGCCCUUUGCAGGGGGCCGCCCGUCGCGCCCAACCUUCACAAACCCCUGCGCCCCUUUACGGCGGCGGGGCGACGCCAUGUCCCAGUCCCACGCCGCAUAAUACCAACACCAGAUCUAAAAGAAUGAUCAGUGGCCACUAUGCCGCCUAAAAACAAAACCACUUUCAACAACGGCACUCAUGGCUCUCGCAUCGGUAAAGCAA
This 279-nucleotide unclassified non-coding RNA is filed under the name plant metagenome. Its description in RNAcentral is "partial contains small subunit ribosomal RNA, internal transcribed spacer 1, and 5.8S ribosomal RNA". The record is from RNAcentral.